GGCAGAACAGACCAAGCACCAUAUGGAAGUGAGAGAACCACGGUAUAGGCUCAGAGGAGGUGGAGGUCCCCCAGGUAUCCAGGCAACAUGGCUCCUUAGCCCUGGCGACAAUCCCAGAUUAACCAGAAGGGUGAGGUGACUGUGCCUUGAAUAAAGCUGAAGGUGACCUUAAGGCAAAACAUGGGACUGCCCUGAACAGCGUAACCUGACGCCCCAUAAAUGCUUAAAGUGACAGUAGUUUCAAUGGAGUGGUGCCAAGAGAAAUAAAAAUUCAACUCUACAGUCAGCUAUGGCCGCACACGCCUCUCAUCCCAGCACUUGAGAGGCAGAAGGAGGUGACUCUCUGAGCUUUGGAAAGCCUGCCCUACAGAGUGAGUUCCAGUCAAGGCUACAUAGCAGCACCAUGUCUUAAUAAGCAAAUAAAAUACUUACUAUAUGUGUUUGAUCUAA
Molecule: non-coding RNA, 450 nt
Organism: Rattus norvegicus (Norway rat)
Lineage: Eukaryota; Metazoa; Chordata; Mammalia; Rodentia; Muridae
Source: RefSeq, a predicted model, not a curated record